RNAcentral lists this ribosomal RNA (322 nucleotides) under Sarcomonadea sp. RNAcentral describes it as "SSU rRNA". The stretch from base 111 to 322 matches the Rfam family "Eukaryotic small subunit ribosomal RNA", at positions 743 to 956 of the family's 1831-position model. The record is from RNAcentral. Lineage: Eukaryota; Cercozoa.
CUGGUUCGGCGCACUUGGCCCGUCUCGGUUUACGGGAUUGCGUGCCGGUGUGCGCCAUCCAUCCUUCGAGAGAACACUCCUACCCUUCACUGGGCCGGCGGGUGACCUUUCUCGAUCUUUUACUUUGAAAAAAUUAGAGUGUUUAAAGCAGGCUUGCGCUAUGAAUACAUUAGCAUGGAAUAAUAAUUUAGGACUUUGGUCUUAUUUUGUUGGUUUCUAGGACUAAAGUAAUGAUUGAUAGGGACAGUUGGGGGUGCUAGUAUUCAGCGGCCAGAGGUGAAAUUCUUGGAUUCGCUGAAGACUAACUUAUGCGAAAGCAUUC